This is a long non-coding RNA of Passer domesticus (house sparrow), 1004 nucleotides long. RefSeq lists it as uncharacterized. The record is from RefSeq and is a predicted model, not a curated record. NCBI's taxonomy places the organism in Eukaryota, Metazoa, Chordata, Aves, Passeriformes, Passeridae. The transcript has 4 exons.
GCUGGUUGUACUCACAGAGGAUGGAUGAUGGAUGGAUGGAUGGAUGGAUGGAUGGAUGGAUGGAUGGAUGGAUGGAUGGAUGGAUGGACGGGUGGAUUAAUGUACAACAUGAUCCCCAGAAUAAGCAUGGCAGUACAGCUUCCCUUGCUGCUCAUGCCUUCCCAGCUCAUGCCUUCCCUAACUCCUACCAUCAGAAAGCCUAAUUAAGAGUAGUUAUAAUCUAUAAUAAUUUGCACACUCUGGCAACUGAGAUCUACAUUUUUAAGCACAAGCUUACUUUUCUUCACUCAUCUGCUGACCUGUGGUUAUACAAGUCUCUCUAUACUUUGUUUUCAUUAGACAUUUAUCCCUCAAGUAAAGAGUAGAAACAGAGUAAGCAACUAUGUCUGUGUUGCAUAGAACUGGUAGAAAUGACUGAUUUUUUAAAGUAAUGAUUUAAUCAAUUUGCUUUUAAAAGGUUUUUAAAGAUUUGGAUUCUUUAUUAUUACACUUGCCUCUUUUUCUUGAAGAUCUUGUGGGGAAAAUGUAUAGAAGAAUCCAUUAUUCCCUUCUUGCCUGGGGCUGCAAUUAUACAGCUAGACCAGAUAGUACCUAUUACCUGCCUGCUUCCUGUUAUUUUUGGAAUGAUCUUAAACAAGAAAAACAUCUCAACAAGAUUUCAGUAGCUCACUUUGUGCCUUGGAAGCUUGGAACCAGUGUGACUAACCAUGGGUUCUUUAAUUUACUUUGAUGCAGUAGAAAAAGGUCUCACUGCUGUUACUGAAAGCUUGAUUGCAUCUCUAUGUCCAAUCAUUAUAGACAAAUUGAUGAAGUCACAAUUUAUGGUAGUAGCCAGGAUCCAUGGCAAACUUUUAAAAGUGCUUGAUAAAUGGAUGUAUAUAAUCACACACAACAGAAUGCUGCACUAUAAAUAUAGCUACUACAGAGAGACUCCACGGUACUACACCCUGCAGAAUCACAGCAACGUUUAUUCAGGUUGGAAGAGGCGUCCAAGAUCACCAACA